ACGUCCGUAGCUCAGUUUGGUUAGAGCUCCAUUAUGACAUGAUGGGUGGCAGUGGUUCAAAUCCACUCGGACGUA
Molecule: transfer RNA, 75 nt
Filed under: Buchnera aphidicola (Nipponaphis monzeni)
Lineage: Bacteria; Pseudomonadati; Pseudomonadota; Gammaproteobacteria; Enterobacterales; Erwiniaceae
Rfam family: tRNA
About the family: Transfer RNA (tRNA) molecules are approximately 80 nucleotides in length. Their secondary structure includes four short double-helical elements and three loops (D, anti-codon, and T loops).
Source: Rfam by way of RNAcentral